UUGAACGCUGGCGGCAUGCUUUACACAUGCAAGUCGAACGGCAGCGCGGGCUUCGGCCUGGCGGCGAGUGGCGAACGGGUGAGUAAUGCAUCGGAACGUGCCCAGUAGUGGGGGAUAGCCCGGCGAAAGCCGGAUUAAUACCGCAUACGACCUGAGGGUGAAAGCGGGGGACCGAAAGGCCUCGCGCUAUUGGAGCGGCCGAUGUCGGAUUAGCUAGUUGGUGGGGUAAAGGCUUACCAAGGCGACGAUCCGUAGCUGGUCUGAGAGGACGACCAGCCACACUGGGACUGAGACACGGCCCAGACUCCUACGGGAGGCAGCAGUGGGGAAUUUUGGACAAUGGGGGCAACCCUGAUCCAGCCAUGCCGCGUGCGGGAGGAAGGCCUUCGGGUUGUAAACCGCUUUUAUUCGGGAAGAAAUCCUCUGGGCUAAUACCCCGGGGGGAUGACGGUACCGGAAGAAUAAGCACCGGCUAACUACGUG
Molecule: ribosomal RNA, 483 nt
Filed under: uncultured bacterium
Lineage: Bacteria
Description: partial 16S ribosomal RNA
Rfam family: Bacterial small subunit ribosomal RNA
Source: RNAcentral